GCAUGGUCUUAGCUUGCUAAGGCCGAUGGCGACCGGCGCACGGGUGAGUAACACGUAUCCAACCUGCCGUCUACUCUUGGACAGCCUUCUGAAAGGAAGAUUAAUACAAGAUGGCAUCAUGAGUCCGCAUGUUCACAUGAUUAAAGGUAUUCCGGUAGACGAUGGGGAUGCGUUCCAUUAGAUAGUAGGCGGGGUAACGGCCCACCUAGUCUUCGAUGGAUAGGGGUUCUGAGAGGAAGGUCCCCCACAUUGGAACUGAGACACGGUCCAAACUCCUACGGGAGGCAGCAGUGAGGAAUAUUGGUCAAUGGGCGAGAGCCUGAACCAGCCAAGUAGCGUGAAGGAUGACUGCCCUAUGGGUUGUAAACUUCUUUUAUAAAGGAAUAAAGUCGGGUAUGGAUACCCGUUUGCAUGUACUUUAUGAAUAAGGAUCGGCUAACUCCGUGCCAGCAGCCGCGGUAAUACGGAGGAUCCGAGCGUUAUCCGGAUUUAUUGGGUUUAAAGGGAGCGUAGAUGGAUGUUUAAGUCAGUUGUGAAAGUUUGCGGCUCAACCGUAAAAUUGCAGUUGAUACUGGAUAUCUUGAGUGCAGUUGAGGCAGGCGGAAUUCGUGGUGUAGCGGUGAAAUGCUUAGAUAUCACGAAGAACUCCGAUUGCGAAGGCAGCCUGCUAAGCUGCAACUGACAUUGAGGCUCGAAAGUGUGGGUAUCAAACAGGAUUAGAUACCCUGGUAGUCCACACGGUAAACGAUGAAUACUCGCUGUUUGCGAUAUACAGCAAGCGGCCAAGCGAAAGCGUUAAGUAUUCCACCUGGGGAGUACGCCGGCAACGGUGAAACUCAAAGGAAUUGACGGGGGCCCGCACAAGCGGAGGAACAUGUGGUUUAAUUCGAUGAUACGCGAGGAACCUUACCCGGGCUUAAAUUGCAGAUGAAUUACGGUGAAAGCCGUAAGCCGCAAGGCAUCUGUGAAGGUGCUGCAUGGUUGUCGUCAGCUCGUGCCGUGAGGUGUCGGCUUAAGUGCCAUAACGAGCGCAACCCUUGUUGUCAGUUACUAACAGGUUCCGCUGAGGACUCUGACAAGACUGCCAUCGUAAGAUGUGAGGAAGGUGGGGAUGACGUCAAAUCAGCACGGCCCUUACGUCCGGGGCUACACACGUGUUACAAUGGGGGGUACAGAGGGCCGCUACCACGCGAGUGGAUGCCAAUCCCAAAAACCUCUCUCAGUUCGGACUGGAGUCUGCAACCCGACUCCACGAAGCUGGAUUCGCUAGUAAUCGCGCAUCAGCCACGGCGCGGUGAAUACGUUCCCGGGCCUUGCACACACCGCCC
RNAcentral lists this ribosomal RNA (1328 nucleotides) under uncultured bacterium. RNAcentral describes it as "bacterial SSU rRNA". It matches the Rfam family "Bacterial small subunit ribosomal RNA", at positions 69 to 1395 of the family's 1533-position model. The record is from RNAcentral.